RNAcentral lists this ribosomal RNA (506 nucleotides) under uncultured bacterium. RNAcentral's name for it is "partial 16S ribosomal RNA". It matches the Rfam family "Bacterial small subunit ribosomal RNA", at positions 29 to 523 of the family's 1533-position model. The record is from RNAcentral.
AGUGAACGCUGGCGGUAGGCCUAACACAUGCAAGUCGAACGGCAGCACAGGAGAGCUUGCUCUCUGGGCGGCGAGUGGCGGACGGGUGAGGAAUACAUCGGAAUCUACUCUGUCGUGGGGGAUAACGUAGGGAAACUUACGCUAAUACCGCAUACGACCUACGGGUGAAAGCAGGGGACCUUCGGGCCUUGCGCGAUUGAGUGAGCCGAUGUCGGAUUAGCUAGUUGGCGGGGUAAAGGCCCACCAAGGCGACGAUCCGUAGCUGGUCUGAGGGGAUGAUCAGACACACUGGAACUGCGAAACGGUCCAGGAUCCUACGGGAGGCAGCAGUGGGGAAUAUUGGACAAUGGGCGCAAGCCUGAUCCAGCCAUACCGCGUGGGUGAAGAAGGCCGUCGGGUUGUAAAGCCCUUUUGUUGGGAAAGAAAUCCAGCUGGCUAAUACCCGGUUGGGAUGACGGUACCCAAAGAAUAAGCACCGGCUAACUUCGUGCCAGCAGCCGCGGUAA